CCUACGGGAGGCAGCAGUGGGGAAUAUUGCACAAUGGGGGAAACCCUGAUGCAGCAACGCCGCGUGAGUGCAGACGUCUUUCGGUAUGUCAAGCUCUAUCAGCAGGGAAGAGAAGGACCGUACCUGACUAAGAAGCACCGGCUAACUACGUGCCACCAGCCGCGGUAAUACGUAGGGGGCGGACGUUAUCCGGAUUUACUGGGGGUAAAGGGAGCGUAGAGGGUUCUGCAAGUCUGAAGUGAAAGCCCGUGGCUUAACCGCGGAACGGCCUUUGAAACCGGGGAACUGGAGUGCGGGAGAGGCAAGCGGAAUGCCUAGUGUAGCGGUGAAAUGCGUAGAUAUUAGGAGGAACACCAGUGGCGAAGGCGGCUUGCUGGACAGUAACUGACGUUGAGGCUCGAAAGCGUGGGGAGCAAACAGGAUUAGAUACCCUGGUAGUC
This 440-nucleotide ribosomal RNA is filed under the name uncultured bacterium. RNAcentral describes it as "partial 16S ribosomal RNA". It matches the Rfam family "Bacterial small subunit ribosomal RNA", at positions 338 to 795 of the family's 1533-position model. The record is from RNAcentral.